RNAcentral lists this long non-coding RNA (225 nucleotides) under Panax ginseng (ginseng). Its description in RNAcentral is "long non-coding RNA (PGIN_LNC008589)". Lineage: Eukaryota; Viridiplantae; Streptophyta; Magnoliopsida; Apiales; Araliaceae. The record is from RNAcentral.
CAUCAUCAAAUCAUCCCUGCACUAUAGGCCAAUGAUAUUCUUUAGUAUCACGACCACGAAUUAUCCAUGCACCACGGGCCAAAGAUAAUCAUAUUUUCAUCAACGGUCCUGAUCAUGCCAUAAAACAAUUCAUCUUUGCACCCUUGGCCGAAGAGAAUCCAUAGCCAUAAUCAUACCAAAAACUGUCCAUCAAUGCACUACGGGCCAAUGAGGACUUUUUNNNNN